UGAACCAAUCAUAGAAAUUUAAAAAAAAAUCAUGCAUCAAUAAUGUCACAUUUUUUGUGAAUUACAUACUUUUAUUUAACUAAAGUUUUGAAUGAUUAUUUAAAAUGUUCAAGCCGUUACAGGCGACGCGCAAUGACUCUCGGGAUAGCUGUGAAGGACGCAUUCGUUCUAUCCUUAAAGUCUCGCUGAAAUAAGGUCGCGUUUUGGGGCCGCAUUUAAAGCAACAUAUGAAUCGGGACAGCCUGGUGUGACGCACGCAAUCGGUCUUAAAAUGCGGCCUUCAGAGGACGCAGCCCAAGAGUUGGGACGCAGCGUGUACGUGUCUGACCCGUCCGUCAAGCUGUGACGUCACACGGCCAGUUCAACAUAGGCCUACACAUGCCACAACAUACUCCCGAAAGAUGGACUGGUUAAAUAAAUACUAAACUUAUAGAAUUCAGCAGGAUAUAGAAUUCAUUGCGUGACACUUGUGUAAUGCAUGUGACUCAAGAUUACGUCUCAUCAAACGUCACGUGGAACUAAUUGAAGAUGGACAUGUGACAUUUCUUUGUGAGGAACAAGAUGGAGGAAAGAGAGCACAGAAAUGAAGAGAGGUCGAGUUCCUGAAGAUGCUGAAGGGUUCACAUGUGACAGGCUCAUGAAGUCUCCUGCUAGAUGAAGGUUAAAUGGUAACAUGGCAGUGAUCGCUGUGGAAAAAUAACUGAGGUUAAUGUGAGACACGUCACAGCAGUUUUUAGCUCAGGGCAGUGAGAUAUCUGAAACUCUCAGAGCAUCACAUGGACGACAGCUCUUUGUAGAACCGAUUUCAUAUUAAUACAACAGUCAUAAGGGGUUUGAAUCAUUUUUCCAAAUCUCAUCCUCCAC
This is a long non-coding RNA of Triplophysa dalaica, 864 nucleotides long. RefSeq lists it as uncharacterized. Lineage: Eukaryota; Metazoa; Chordata; Actinopteri; Cypriniformes; Nemacheilidae. The transcript has 3 exons. The record is from RefSeq and is a predicted model, not a curated record.